RNAcentral lists this ribosomal RNA (253 nucleotides) under uncultured bacterium. RNAcentral describes it as "partial 16S ribosomal RNA". It matches the Rfam family "Bacterial small subunit ribosomal RNA", at positions 524 to 776 of the family's 1533-position model. The record is from RNAcentral.
UACGAAGGGGGCUAGCGUUGUUCGGAAUCACUGGGCGUAAAGCGCAUGCAGGCGGAUUGUUAAGUCGGGGGUGAAAUCCCGAGGCUCAACCUCGGAACUGCCUUCGAUACUGGCAAUCUUGAGUCCGGGAGAGGUGAGUGGAACUGCGAGUGUAGAGGUGAAAUUCGUAGAUAUUCGCAAGAACACCAGUGGCGAAGGCGGCUCACUGGCCCGGUACUGACGCUGAGGUGCGAAAGCGUGGGUAGCAAACGGG